Salmo salar (Atlantic salmon) is the source of this 1510-nucleotide non-coding RNA. The record is from RefSeq and is a predicted model, not a curated record. Lineage: Eukaryota; Metazoa; Chordata; Actinopteri; Salmoniformes; Salmonidae.
AUUAUGAUGGCCGCCCUGGUUGACUGACGGGCUUUCCAGACUGGCUCCAAACUUUAGCUAAUGUUCCUUAAGGUAUCUAGUGUUAGUGUACCAUGUUUGGUACUUGUAUCAUAAAAUGGAACAAUUAUGUCACCUAUCCCUGGACUAUAUCGUAAAUUAUGCGCUAAAGCAAGCUAGCAUCUAUGAAUGUGUUAACUGACACGUGACCGCGGUAACUAUUUACUGAAUAGCAAGCUAAUCGUAUCAUCAAGAAGUCCCAAAGAGAAGUCUUCACAAAACCGAAUUAAUUUUUUUUUAAGGACUCUAACCUUAACACGAACAUAGUUUUGCUCAGCUUCCUGAUGUCUGCACUUUUACUGUAAUUUCAGUGUAUGCAAUGACAAGAAAAAGUAACUGUUCUGCGUGCUAUUUUUAACUUUGAUUCCGGUUGUUUUGGUACACCCUCUGCCUGGAUUGGAUGAGAACAUUUCCAAGAUGUAUUGGUAGACAAAUAUGUCAAUCACUCAUAGAACGUAAUGAAUACAUGUCUUGGAGAGUAGUUGUCUGUAUUUACGGCAGCGAAUUAGAGGGGUGAACACUAUGACCACACGAGGGCAGUGAUGUCCAUUAUUUUCCAGACUGACUGUUACAAAAACUGCAUUUUGUUCCGGACAAAACAUGUUAAUUAACAGAAGAGAAAAUGCAGAUUAUCCAUCCAGAAGCGGGGCCACCAUCUCCAGCAUCUUCCCCGUUCUUGGCUGUGGUUGGAACCAUAACGGUGUUAGUAGGGCUGACAACAUUACUACUGGUGGUCAAAAGUGACCGGCGGCUGCUGAUCCAUGCUCUAUUCACCUAUCCUCUCCGUUCACCAAGAUGCACACACACAGACCCUUCUGUAGAGUGUCUGGGAGGUGAAUAGGCGUGUCUGGGAGGUGCAUAGGCGUGUCUGGGAGGUGCAUAGGCGUGUCUGGGAGGUGCAUAGGCGUGUCUGUCAGGUGCAUAGGAGUGUCUGUCAGGUGCAUAGGAAUGUAGUUGGCAACCUCAUCUGAUUCCAGACAACCCCUCAAGCUUUAUAAUUUAAGUUGAGUGAUAAAAAUGACUUUUGUGGUACUACAGUAUGUGGGUAAACUGUCAUCAGUAUGUAGCUACAUUGUUUUGGCUGGGAUUCAACUCACUCAGUAUUAAAAACAAAUACUGUAGGUUGUGUUUCGUGACAGCUCUCCAUUUUUCUCUGUACUGAUGUCUACUUUGCGAGGAUUACAAAGUCAUACUUUAGUUAGUGGUUAUUGUAUGCUAACCUUUUGAAUAUGUGCAUAAAUCCUAAUGUGUGGCUGAUCUGAUAAGACAGUGUAUAGUGUAUGUAACUGAGAUUAGGAGGUCAUAUCAUAAAAAGUGUGUUUUUGUCCAGAUAAAUAUAAGAAAACAUUUAGAUGAUGUGGAAUUAGAUACAUCUAUCUCAAUAGUUGCAUUGCAUAUUGUCCAGAACAGUCAUGAUUGUAAAGAAGAUGAGACAAUAAAGGAUGACAAUUUA